ACUCCUACGGGAGGCAGCAGUAGGGAAUCUUCGGCAAUGGACGAAAGUCUGACCGAGCAACGCCGCGUGAGUGAAGAAGGUUUUCGGAUCGUAAAACUCUGUUGUUAGAGAAGAACGUUGUGUAGAGUGGAAAAUUACACAAGUGACGGUAUCUAACCAGAAAGGGACGGCUAACUACGUGCCAGCAGCCGCGGUAAUA
Molecule: ribosomal RNA, 199 nt
Filed under: uncultured Lactococcus sp.
Lineage: Bacteria; Bacillati; Bacillota; Bacilli; Lactobacillales; Streptococcaceae
Description: partial 16S ribosomal RNA
Rfam family: Bacterial small subunit ribosomal RNA
Source: RNAcentral